CUAUUUGGGGAAACAGGCAGCAGACCAGUCACCUGCUUGAUUAUCAGGGUUGAAUGGGCUGAUCUGGCUGGCUAGGCUGCUGCCCCUGCCUUCUACAUGAUUGCUUGUACUUCCCUCUGGAUGCAAAAAGCUCCAUGGCGAAGGAAGGCAUGCCCAUAUAGAGAAAGACCCUUUUCCAGCCGAGGAAAACAUGAGUAGCCCAGUCUUCUGCUGGAACGUCUAAUGCAGCCUGCAGGAUCACUUUGUAGGAGGAUGUCGAGUAGUCAAUAUUCUAAGAUACCACACACAUACAAAUGGAAUGCUGCAAGCCUAAGUCUGCCUCUCU
This 325-nucleotide small nuclear RNA is filed under the name Oryctolagus cuniculus (rabbit). Its description in RNAcentral is "7SK RNA". It matches the Rfam family "7SK RNA". From Rfam's summary of the family: 7SK was discovered as an abundant small nuclear RNA in the mid-70s but a possible function has only recently been suggested. Two independent studies have found that 7SK RNA binds the CDK9/cyclin T complex (known as elongation factor P-TEFb). The record is from Rfam by way of RNAcentral. Lineage: Eukaryota; Metazoa; Chordata; Mammalia; Lagomorpha; Leporidae.